UUUAUAUAAAAUAUUUUGAUGAAUAUUUAUACUAAUAUUUAACAUAAUUCAUAUUACUAUAUNUUUUAGUAUAUGAAAUUUUACUUUGAGAAAAUUAGAGUGCUUAAAGCAGGCAUAUGCCUUGAAUACUCCAGCAUGGAAUAAUAUUAAAGAUUUUUAUCUUUCUUAUUGGUUCUAAGAUAAGAAUAAUGAUUAAUAGGGACAGUUGGGGGCAUUUGUAUUUAACAGUCAGAGGUGAAAUUCUUAGAUUUGUUAAAGACAAACUAAUGCGAAAGCAUUUGCCAAGGAUGUUUUCAUUAAUCAAGAACGAAAGUUAGGGGAUCGAAGACGAUCAGAUACCGUCGUAGUCUUAACCAUAAACUAUGCCAACUAGAGAUUGGAGGUUGUUCCUUACUCCUUCAGCACCUUA
This 409-nucleotide ribosomal RNA is filed under the name Cryptosporidium parvum. RNAcentral describes it as "SSU rRNA". It matches the Rfam family "Eukaryotic small subunit ribosomal RNA", at positions 672 to 1090 of the family's 1831-position model. The record is from RNAcentral. Lineage: Eukaryota; Apicomplexa; Conoidasida; Eucoccidiorida; Cryptosporidiidae.